Long non-coding RNA from Oncorhynchus tshawytscha (Chinook salmon), 2486 nucleotides. The record is from Ensembl. Lineage: Eukaryota; Metazoa; Chordata; Actinopteri; Salmoniformes; Salmonidae.
UUGCAAUAUAAGGUACAGAAUUCAUUUCCAAUGUUUUGGUUUCACAGACACAAAGAUCCAUCACUUAUACCACAGUGCUUCAGUGAUCCUGAAAGGCAACUGUGGUAAUAGAGAAAAUAUGACAUGGCACCAAAUACAGUCAGCGUCAAAACUUUUAUUUUCCUGGAAGAAAAGACAAAACCUUGUACCCUAAAGGAAACAGAGUUACAAUCCAAAUAAAAGUUCCAAAACUGUUUUACAUCAACUGAGUAAAUAUCAUUGAUGAUUUAACUUUGUUUUAAAUGAACCAAAACCGUAAUAUUCCAAAUGGCAACUGCCUCGAAACAAACAGCUAAACAAAUGAAAUGAGAAAUACUUGUUUGAUGCUUUAGUAUUUGUUAGUUGGCUAUUAAUAUAACAUGAUAUUAUAGCUAAACCUUACACCUUGAUCAAUCCAAAUCUGAGCAGACCAUGAGCACCCGUGUUUAGGGCACACAUUAUCAUGCACUUGGUUAACUGUCUGUAGAGAGCGCAAUGUCUACGGUUUCUCCUUUUGACCAUGUCUGAGAAUGAAUCCAAAUGUUUUAAAAAAUAAAUAUUUUCACUAGUUUGAGGUAAAGUAAUUGUAGCUAAUUGUAACCAUAGCCAAACUGGUGGAGAGCGUUGCACCCGGCUGCGGGGGGAAAGCAGAGAAAAUCAAUGGGUAAAUGGGUAAGAGGAAAGAUUGAAGUGCUUUUGAACAGGUUAUGGUAGUAGGUACCAGGAUCAACGGUUUGCGUGUGUCAACAACUGCAACGCUGAGGUGUUUUUCACACGUGUAUCAAGAAUGGUCCACCACCCAAAAAAUAUCCAGCCAACUUGACACAACUAUGGGAAGCAAUGGAGUCAACAUGGGCCAGCAUCCCUGUGGAAUGCUUUCGACACCUUGUAGAGUCCACGCCCCGACAAAUCGAGGCUGUUCUGAGGGCUGAAAGGGGGGUGGGGGGAACUCAAUAGUAAGAUGGUGUUCUUAAUGUUUUGUACAUUCAGUGUAUUUACAGUGCAUUCAGAAAGUAUUCAGACCCCUUGACUUUAUCCACAUUUUGUUACGUUACAGCCUUAUUCUAAAACUGAUUCAAUUGUUUUUACCCCUCAUCAAUCCACACACACAAUACCCCAUAAUGACAAACGUAUCUGAAUACUUUCUGAAUGCACUGUAUAGACCUAUAUAUGAAAAAGUCAAAUAAUGUUGCCUCCAAGGACAACACUACAGUAUAGCAAGUGCAGGUACACCAGUCUGCAGUUUGUGGUAACACACCACUUUCUGACUAGACCCUCUGAUUGCUUCACAUCAUCCCAAAAACAUUCUUCCAUCUCCCCACAGUCCCAGGAGCUCUUGAAUGGCUCCUUACUGCCCUCCUCUGGCUAUAAACGGAGGGAAUCAUUGAGCAUGACAGUCUGAGAUAUGAGACAGUGGAGCAGGUUGGAGCAGGGUGGGAUGAGACUUCAGAGCUGAUAUGGGCAGGUAAACACAAAGUCCUGUGCUUGGUAGUUGUCUGUUUUUAAAUGAUCUCCGAACACAUAACAACAAGGAGUCAAAAAGGGGUCCAGAUUAUUGGUCGCAUACAGUUUGGCAGAUGUUAUAGCGGGUGCAGCAAAAUGCUUACGUUACUAGCAGUAAAAUGUCAAACUGCUCUCCAGGACCAGUGUUGUCUACCAAUGGAUUAGGUAACUAUUUUUGGUAAAAGGCUGGCUGUGGACAUAGGAUACACUAAAACUCACUCAAUCACCAUACCAACCAGCAUCCAUUCGGACUCCCUUUCCACAACAGCAGCAAACACCCAAUCUUUAAUUCCUUAAAAAAAAAAAAUAGUUACGCCAAAGUCCUCUUUCUGUCACCGAGAUGAGAUUGAUGUAAUAGUAAGGCCCUCUUAACACCCAAUGCUUCCUAACUCUCAAUAUUGCCACUCCUGUCUUUUUAGCUAGCAUUCCACUCCUUGCCACUCCUGUCUUUUUAGCUAGCAUUCCACUCCUUGCCACUUCUGUCUUUUUAGCUAGCAUUCCACUCCAGUAUUUUUAGCUAGCAUUCCACUCCAGUCUUUUUAGCUAGCAUUCCACUCCAGUCUUUUUAGCUAGCAUUCCACUCCAGUCUUUUUGGCUAGCAUAACAUUUUUUGAUCAUAUUACUCCAGUGCUAGCCUCUCUACACUGGCUUCCUGUCAAAGCAAGGGCUGAUUUCAAGGUUUUACUGCUAACCUACAAAGCAUUACAUGGGCUUGCUCCUACCUAUCUCUCUGAUUUGGUCCUGCCGUACAUACCUACACGUACGCUACGGUCACAAGACGCAGGCCUCCUAAUUGUCCCUAGAAUUUCUAAGCAAACAGCUGGAGGCAGGGCUUUCUCCUAUAGAGCUCCAUUUUUAUGGAACGGUCUGCCUACCCAUGUCAGAGACGCAAACUCGGUCUAAACCUUUAAGUCUUUACUGAAGACUCAUCUCUUCAGUGGGUCAUAUGAUUGAGUGUAGUCUGG